GACGAAGGGGGCUAGCGUUGUUCGGAAUCACUGGGCGUAAAGGGCGCGUAGGCGGCUUUAUAAGUCGGGGGUGAAAGCCUGUGGCUCAACCACAGAAUUGCCUUCGAUACUGUAGAGCUUGAGACCGGAAGAGGUAAGUGGAACUGCGAGUGAGAGGUGAAAUUCGUAGAUAUUCGCAAGAACACCAGUGGCGAAGGCGGCUCACUGGCCCGGUACUGAC
RNAcentral lists this ribosomal RNA (220 nucleotides) under uncultured bacterium. Its description in RNAcentral is "partial 16S ribosomal RNA". It matches the Rfam family "Bacterial small subunit ribosomal RNA", at positions 524 to 744 of the family's 1533-position model. The record is from RNAcentral.